This is a non-coding RNA of Acanthosepion pharaonis, 93 nucleotides long. The record is from the annotation of a GenBank genome assembly. NCBI's taxonomy places the organism in Eukaryota, Metazoa, Mollusca, Cephalopoda, Sepiida, Sepiidae.
UCACCGAUUCCCGUAAGAUCACCGAAGUUAAGCAACGUUGAACCUGGUCAGUAUUUCGAUGGAUGACCGCUUGAGAAUGCCAGGUGCUGUAAG